RNAcentral lists this long non-coding RNA (3609 nucleotides) under Canis lupus familiaris (dog). Its description in RNAcentral is "lncRNA (ENSCAFG00000056086.1)". The record is from RNAcentral. Lineage: Eukaryota; Metazoa; Chordata; Mammalia; Carnivora; Canidae.
UUUUUUUCUUUAUUGCUACAAUUUGCAAUUUAAUUACAAUCUCUUGAUGUGGACCAGCUUUUGUUAACUUUUGGGGAAGGUUCUCCAUAUGUUCUGGAUCUAGAUAUUUGUUUCCUUCCCUAGAUUAGGGAAGUUUUCAGUUAUUUCUUCAAAUACAUUUUCUUCCCUUUUUUCUCUCCUUUUCCGAGAUCUCUAUAAUACAGAUGUUAUUACAUUUGAUGACAUCACUGAUUUCCCUGUCUAUUCUUGUUUUGCAUAAUUCUUUUUCUCUUCUUUGUUCAGUCUGAUUACUUUCCAUUACUCUGUCUUCUAGGUCAUUAAUUCAUUCCUCUGCUUUUUCAAGCCUGCUAUUCAUUCCAUCUAGCAUAUUUCUCAUUUUGUUUAUUGAACUCUUUAUCUCUGCUACGUUACUCCUUAUCUCUGUGUUAAGGUCUCACUGAUGUCUUCCAUUCUUUGCUGAGUAUCUUUAUGAUCAUUACUUUUUUAAAAGAUUUUAUUAAUUCAUGAGAGACAGAGAGAGAGAGAGGCAGAGACACAGGAAGAGGGAGAAGCAGGCUCCAUGCAGGGAGCCCGAUGUGGGACUCAAUCCUGGGACUCCAGGAUCUGCCCUGGGCCAAAGGCAGGCGCUAAACCGCUGUGCCCCCCGGGGCUGCCCUGAUCAUUACUUUAAAUUCUCUAUCAGGCAUGUUAUUAAUACCUGUUUCUCUUAGAUCACUGGCCAUGGCCUUGUCCUGUUCUUUCAUUUGGGACAAAUUCCUCUGUCUCCCCAUUUUGUUUAAAUUUCUGUGCUGUUUCUCUGCUAGGAAAUUUGGCUAUGUCUCUUGUUUUUGAGGGUAAUGACUUUAGGAAAAGAGGUCCAGAAGUGCCCUGCAGUGUAAUGUCCCCUAUUUCCCAAGGCCUGGCACUUCUGGAGGUGUUUCCAGUAUGUGCUGUGUGUACUCUGCUAUUGUGUCCUGACUGCUUUAUCCUUCAGGCCUGUGAUCUGCAGAGGUUCCCUUUGCCUGUUUUGUGCAGUAUUUGGCCCCUGGACUGAAUGUGGUAAGUUUUAACUAGGUAUGCUCUGGUCUGCUUGUGAGAUGAGACUUGGGACACUACCCCAGGAACUGAGCAUUUUCACAAUUUUCUUAUUCUUAAUAUUCCAAAAAAUGCCACAGUUAACAUUUAUAUGCAUAGUUUUCUUAUUUGUUUAUAGAUUUUGCAAACCAUUUUAUAAUCAUGAUGAACACUGAAAAUAUUAUGCUAAGUGUAGUCCAGUCACAGAGACCUCAUACCAUUCUGUUAUGAAAUGUCUAGAAUAGUUUACAUCUAUAAAGAUAGGAAGUAGAUUACUGAUUGGGGCUGGGAAAGUGAGUGAGGAUUUGGGGGGAUUUAUAGUCAAAAGAUGUAGAAUUUUUCGGGGGGUGAUUAAAAUGCUCUAAAAUUAAUUGUUCAUGGCUGCACAAUUCUGUAAAUAUAGUACAAGCUACUGAAUUGUACACUUUAAACGGGUAAAUUACAUGCACUUCAAUAAAGGUGUUAAAACCAGAUUUUGAUUUAUUAAUCAUGUCUGCUGCUUUUCUAUUCUCCACCUCACUGAUUUCUAUUGUAAUCCUCAUCAUUUCCUUCUUUUGAUUUCACUUGGUUUGUAGGGGUUUUCCCUCUUUUAUUUGUGAAUUUAACUCAAUUCUUUAUUUUUGAUUUGUAAGUGUUUAAUGCUUUGAAUUUUCUUUUGAUCACUGCUUUACAUGCAUCCCAUAGGUUUCAAUGUGUAGUGAUUUUAUUAUUUUUAGUCUAUAAAUUUAUUUUGUAUUUUCUUUUAUCAAAUGUGUUUAAUAGUCUUAAAAUAUAAAUCUAGAUUCUAAGGUGACAGUUUCUUCCCUUUCAUUACAUUGAAGAUGUUUCAUUUUCUUCUUUUUCUGAAGUAAAAUCAGCCAUCCUUCUUAUACUUCUGUCCUUGUUCUCCCUUCUCUCUACUCUUAACAUAUUCUCCUCUCUUGAUUUUUAGUACUUCUAUCAUGAUUUACUUAAGUGUGUUUUAUGAAAGUCCUAGGGGAUUGCUGAGCUUCCUGGCUCUGCCAGUGUUGUUGCUCUUGUUUUAAAUCAGAUUAAGAAAGUUUGUGCUAAUGUUCCAUUUUUUGGGGGCUGAUUUGGGAAUAUAUUAUUAUAUUUUCACCUAUUUGCGGACAUUUCUUUUUAGUGUACCUUUAUUGUCUAUACGGAUGUUAUUCUGUUCCUUAUUCCUUUUUUCUCACAGUAACCACUGGUUUGAAACCUCUCAGGAGCUUCCCGGGGAAAAUCUGAAACCGGCUCCUAUAUAGGGGGCGGGAAAGAGACCAAAGAAAGGUCUCUGGUAGGCCAUUCCAGGUUAGUAGGUGGCAGCAAAAUGAACUUCUACACAAGAUUUGUUUUUGGUGGCAGCAAGACAAGUCUCCAUGCUGGCCUGCCAACUUUUGAGAGUGAAUAUAGAAGUCUUUUUUUUUUUUUUUAAGAUUUUAUUCAUUUAUUCAUGAGAGAGAGAGGGGGGGGGGGGCAGAGACACAGGUAGAGGGUAAAGCAGGCUUCAUGCAAGGAGCUCGACGCGGGACUCAAUCAGGCGAUCAGGCCCUGGGCUGAAGGCGGCGCUAAUCCACUGAGCCACCCAGGCUGCCCAAAUAUAGGUCUUAACUAGGUUCAAUCACAUAUACCAUGCAGUUGUUCUCAACACAUCACUAUCUCAAGGUUGUGUCCUGAGAGCAGCCUCUGGGAGUGGGAAAGGCAAACAGAACCCACAUUCCAAGGACAGAAAGGGGAUGAGGAGCCUCCUAGUGCCUGAGUCCAGCUCACAGGUCAACUGGCAGUCCUGUCUUCUUGAUGACCUUCUCCAACAAGAACUAUAAGACAUUUACUUUUGUGAUCUAUUUGAUUGCUCAUGCAUAAGUGAGAUGAGCAUUUCUAACCCAUGAAAGAAGUAACCUAAGGAUAACCUUCCUAAUGUAUCAGUACUAGAGCUCCCUCUUUCUUACGUUGUUUCAUAAAGUACUCCUCCCCUCAUCAUUGGAUCUUGUUUUGCCUUCUCCAUUCCUGACUGCUCAAUUUGCUCUGCUUAGUCUUACUUCCAGCAGUUUCUUAAUGUAAGCUUUGUCUUAUCAGAGAACUUUCAUCACUUAGAAUUGAGAGUUCAUAGGGCUCAGACUAUUCUAGUCCUCCUUCUGUUACUUGGGACUGGGAGUCUGCAAACUUCAUCCAGUUUUGGCUGUUGUUCUCAGAUAUGUCUUGUGAGCAUUUCUGAGAACACCUAUAGUAAUUUGGGGGCUCUCUAGCUUCCAGGGCUAUCAGAAGACCAUCUCCUUUCUCUGCUCCCUUCUGUGUAGCUGCUGAUAAAUACUAUGUGAGUGUGUUACUGUUGGAGGUUGAAUCCUACACCUCAAAUUUUAGUUUGUGGGAAUACUUUAUCACCUAAUUUGUUAUUGAUAUUAUCUGUAGGUUUUUGGCUUCUCUACCUUAUUCAUCUGUUUCUUAUGGAGGGCUUUUGGGAGAUGAAAAACAUAUGGUACCACUUACCUUCCCAGAAGAUAUAAAGAGGAAAAACAUAUUAUGGAAGUUUUUUUAAGUUGUCUUCAUAGUUGAAAUGUGGGUUAAAAAAAAAAAAAA